UACGUAGGGGGCAAGCGUUGUCCGGAUUUAUUGGGCGUAAAGAGCGUGUAGGCGGCCAGACAGGUCCGUUGUGAAAACUCGAGGCUCAACCUCGAGACGCCGAUGGAAACCGUCUGGCUAGAGUCCGGAAGAGGAGAGUGGAAUUCCUGGUGUAGCGGUGAAAUGCGCAGAUAUCAGGAAGAACACCCGUGGCUAAGGCGGCUCCCUAGUACGGUACUGACGCUGAGACGCGAAAGCGUGGGGAGCGAACAGG
RNAcentral lists this ribosomal RNA (253 nucleotides) under uncultured bacterium. RNAcentral's name for it is "partial 16S ribosomal RNA". It matches the Rfam family "Bacterial small subunit ribosomal RNA", at positions 524 to 776 of the family's 1533-position model. The record is from RNAcentral.